GUGGGGAAUCUUGCGCAAUGGGCGAAAGCCUGACGCAGCCAUGCCGCGUGAAUGAUGAAGGUCUUAGGAUUGUAAAAUUCUUUCACCGGGGACGAUAAUGACGGUACCCGGAGAAGAAGCUCCGGCUAACUUCGUGCCAGCAGCCGCGGUAAUACGAAGGGGGCUAGCGUUGCUCGGAAUUACUGGGCGUAAAGGGCGCGUAGGCGGACAGCUUAGUCAGAGGUGAAAGCCCAGGGCUCAACCUUGGAAUUGCCUUUGAUACUGGCUGUCUUGAGUUUGGGAGAGGUGAGUGGAACUCCGAGUGUAGAGGUGAAAUUCGUAGAUAUUCGGAAGAACACCAGUGGCGAAGGCGACUCACUGGCCCAAUACUGACGCUGAGGCGCGAAAGCGUGGGGAGCAAACAGGAUUAGAAACCCCAAGUCC
Molecule: ribosomal RNA, 423 nt
Filed under: uncultured bacterium
Lineage: Bacteria
Description: partial 16S ribosomal RNA
Rfam family: Bacterial small subunit ribosomal RNA
Source: RNAcentral